Molecule: long non-coding RNA, 648 nt
Organism: Bombus pascuorum
Lineage: Eukaryota; Metazoa; Arthropoda; Insecta; Hymenoptera; Apidae
Exons: 3
Source: RefSeq, a predicted model, not a curated record
UAUUGUAUAAACGUCAUACAUUUUACAUACAUUGGUUUAUCGCGAAAUAUCUCGUGCUUCGUUACAAAAUAGGCGUUAUUCGCAUAGAACAAUAAUUAUUACGUUUCAUAGCAGUGCGAUUUACGUUUCGAGCACGUUUCAAUAUGAUCUAGUAUAAGUUUUAUACAAACUAGGAUAAAUUAUUGUUUAUACGUGUAUAGAAUUACUAAUGAAGAGAAACUAUAUCUUACUAGGUAUGAUCUGAAUGAACCUACGAAUAUUAUAACUACGUGCUCUGGCCUGAUUAAACUUACCAGCUCGUGUUAAGCGGAACUUACCUGUUAUUAUGGAGAAUAUUACAUUACAUUGAGCGAAAAAGACUCGACUGUUAAAGUUCACCGUCGAUAAAUUCGAGGAAAUACGGAAGUCGAAUACAUGGGUGAAUAUACGAGAGGCUGCGGAAGGAAGAAGAAAAGCGAGCGGAAGAAGAAAAAGUGGAAAUGUUUGCCGUUGAUAAGGGAGAAGAUUCAAGGUGAAAAUCGGUGGUUAGCCAAACAUUAUGUAUUCGAGAUAGCUACAAGUUUCUCCGAGAGAUAUUUGCGAUGAAAGGGGUACGGGGUUAGAUUUCUAUCCCCGAUGGUGGUGCAAGCUUCGUUUUCUCAUUGGUCC